This is an RNA transcript of Bombus terrestris (buff-tailed bumblebee), 4216 nucleotides long. It is a transcript of the gene named E3 SUMO-protein ligase PIAS2, with no coding region annotated. The transcript is spliced from 12 exons. NCBI's taxonomy places the organism in Eukaryota, Metazoa, Arthropoda, Insecta, Hymenoptera, Apidae. The record is from RefSeq and is a predicted model, not a curated record.
AUAUUUUUAAAACAUUUUACAUUGCACGUCAGUUAUAGAGGAAUGCUAAAGGUUUGGUUGGACGUUUGCAAUCUAAUAGAUGAAACAUAACCAGCAAAUAUAUUCAAAGAUUUUCCUCCGCGUGUAAACUCACUAAAAGUUUAAGAAGAUGAAGACAACUUGAAUUUAUGAUUUUCUUGAAACUUUAGUACCUCCUUUAUAGCUCUUUUUCCAACAUUAAUUAACAAAAAAAUUAUUAUAAUGUACAUUUAUUGAAUUAUACAAAUUGAAGUUGAACUCCAAAUAAAUUGUUAGCAGCCAUCUUGGAAAACCCUUUUUCGCAUUUCGAACGAACGAAGUGUCAAAUAUCGAUAAUUACUUCAUCGCACGCGGCUGAACUAAAAAUUUUUAUGGGAAUUGAGCUUUCUUAGAAAAGUUAGAUUUUUUAAAACGAUCUCGAAAUUGAAAUGUAAAAAUCAAUUUCGCGCCAUAAAAUAGUAUUAUUCGAUACUCGCACUUAAAAAGCAAGAAAAAUAUAGAAGCGAGUUGCGAUACAAACAACUCGAAUAAGUAAGGGGUAGGAGAAUUUUUGUAUUGAAAGUUGGAAAUAAUAUAGACAAGACGGCUUCGCAAAAAAAAUCGUCUAAGAAGAUGGCGGAGACCAAAGAAUUAGAGAAUAUGAUAUUGAGUUUUCGAGUGUCUGAACUUCAGAUGCUUCUUGGUUUUGCUGGUAGAAAUAAAUCAGGUAGAAAGAACGAAUUACAAGCACGUGCACUAGAAUUGUUACGUUUGAGAUCCCAUCCAAUUCAGCUCAAAAUACGUGAAUUAUAUAAAUCCAUACAAGCUGAUCAAUUAGCUGCACAUCAAAUGUAUGGUCAAACAGGUAGUUCUGGGGAACCACAAAUAGAUCAAAACAUGCAUUCCAGAAAUUAUUACACAACAAGACAAGCUAUCAGUCAACAGCAACAGUCACAGUCUUCAGUUUCUAGUGGAAAGGAUUUACCACCUGCACAUCAAGCAUCUCUACCUCAAGCACCUAGAACAAAUCCAGUCUAUCAGUCAACAGCAUAUGCCAACGUAACACCGCAACAAACAACAAGUGCAGCCUAUAAUCCAUAUCCAUAUGCACCAAAAGUUUUACCAUCACCAUUGCAAAUACAACCUAGAAAUCAAUAUCCUGUUCAUCCAGAUGUUAGACUUAGAAAGCUACCAUUUUUUGAUUUAUUGGCUGAAUUGCUGAAGCCAUCUAGUUUAAUGCCUCAAGGAUCUAUGAGACUUCAAGAGAAUACAUUUAUGUUUCAUCUAACACCACAGCAGUCAACAGAUGUAGCAAGUUCACGAGAUUGUCGUGCAGGAAGUAAAAUGGAUUACACAGUACAGAUACAGAUGCGGUUUUGUUUGCAAGAAACAUCGUGUGAACAGGAGGACUGUUUUCCACCAAGCAUUGCAGUAAAAGUUAAUGGAAAACUGUGUCCUUUACCUAAUCCAAUACCUACUAAUAAGCCGGGGGUAGAACCAAAGAGGCCGCCACGGCCUGUCAAUAUUAGUCCUCUAGUUAAAUUAUCUCCUACUGUAGCGAAUCAAAUUCACGUAACAUGGUCGGCAGACUACGGCAGACGAUACGCAAUUGCGAUAUAUUUAGUUCGAAAGCUUUCAAGUGCUGAAUUAUUAUCAAGGUUAAAAAGUAGGGGAGUUCGACAUUCGGAUUAUACAAGAGGUUUAAUUAAGGAGAAACUUAACGAAGAUGCGGAUAGUGAAAUAGCGACAACAUCGCUUAGAGUAUCGUUAGCUUGUCCGUUAGGCAAGAUGCGAAUGUGUACACCAUGUCGUGCAUCAACAUGUUCACAUUUACAAUGUUUUGAUGCAUCCCUAUUCCUUCAAAUGAAUGAAAGAAAACCAACAUGGAAUUGCCCAGUUUGUGAUAAGCCAGCGUUAUAUGAUAAUCUCGUUAUCGAUGGCUACUUUCAAGAAGUGUUGAACUCUAAGAAACUAUUACCAGAUGUAAAUGAAAUUCAAUUAUUGCAAGAUGGGUCGUGGGAAAAUUUGGUUCUAAAGAAAGAAAAGGAUAAGGAGAAGAGUGAAACAAAAGUUAUUACAAAUUCGCAAGAUCGUAAAAUCGAUGUGGAUACAGUCGACCUCGGUGACAAAUGGAAAACCUUAUCAGUAGAAAAUGAGCGUUCUGCAUCCCACUGGACCAAAAUCGAUAUCCGAAGUUAGCGCCAUGACACUUGCUCCAGUUUGCACUUCAAUGUAUUUCGUCUGUUACAAAUUCACAUCUCAGCGCAUGCGCAUUAACGAUGCGCGCACAUCUUUUUCAAAUCGUCCAUAGGUUGGCGCCUUCAGUCUGUACCAAAUCACGUACAAGCAUUUUUCGUCUUAAGAUUUGUCUUCGUUUUUUUUGUUUCAGUGGAUUUAAGCUGUAUUCGUUUCAAUGCGUUCAUAAAGUAUGAUCAAUAGGAACUGCCAGGAAAGGAAUUGAACACUCAAAGACAACCUACUUAACGCUAUACGCUCGUAAGAGGUUAAUUAAAAGCGGAGCGUAACAAUCGAUAGGCAAGAAAGGGUAGAGUAUCGACAUCACUCCAAGCAGCACUCGUAAAAGAACAAUGGUCGCGUGUCUAGAAAACAUCGUAAUUAUGUCAAAGGAGUAACUGCGGAAGUGUAAAGUACUCCGACAUGUUGCAGCGAAAAUUACGCUUGAAACGGAGAUGUAUGUUCUUCACAAAAGUAGCAUCCGUAGUGUAACAGCCCUCCUAGGAAGGAUCGACUUGCGACCGCACAAUAUCCCACGUAUAUACGAUUAUCGAUCAAGGAUACGUAAACAGCCGUGGUAUAGUUGCGCACACGCGGCGACCAGGCCACUUAGCGUAUGUUUGUUUAGUACCUUUUACGACUAUAUUGUCCGGGCAUGUGUUAGAUUACGGAGCAGCCAGUGUCUGGCGCAUAGCUGAGGGUUGGGUGGUACGGCGCCGUGCUUCGAGAGGGUCAUUUAUAACUGUUAUCGUGAGACUUACUAGCCCACUUACUACCUCCACUGUGUCUAUUCUCCACCCACUCUUCUAUUCUACUGGAAGAAACGUAAGCGCGAGAUGCGCCAGUCCACCGAACCUGCUGGUCAUUCUAGCACGGUUUUUUAUUCGGUCAUCUUGUAUCACGCCAGAGAAUAAAAUCUUUGAGUAACGACAUCAUUUUCAGAAAAUCUUGAUUUUUAUCGCCAGUGUUCUAUGAGAAAAAUUGGCAGUUGUUUGUUUUCUCUGUUCCUUUCCAUUAGUUAGUUUACAUUCUAUAGAUGAUUUGUACAUUAUAAUUAAUUGUAAAAUAGAAUUAUGGUCUCGAGUUAUAUUGCGAUCUUUCCUAAUAAAGCAAGGUAGUAAUUGUUGGCUGUAUUGUUUUCCUUAAAUAUAAAAUUAUUUAGAAAUUCAUAGUCGAGAAACUAUAGGCGAGUGGAGAAGGUUAUUUUACGUAAAAUGUAUAAUUGUUGCUGGACUAAUUACAAUCCUGUUUUCAUUAGCUGUGGGACUUGUAACCGUAAUAGCUAUGCACACAGUCCUAAUCCUUUGUUCUCAUAAAGCCACUUUGAGUGGCGAACUGACCGAACUGAAUGCGAACUUUGGACAUAGCGUUUAAGGUUGGUAAUAUGCUAGCUUUACAUAAAUCUGCGUGAUAACUAAUGUGCAAACUUUCAUAUUUAUUGAGAUAACCGGAUACAAUUGUAGCGGCACACGAGUCAUAGGACAAAGAAAAUCAUGUAGUUGUUUUGCCUCGAAGUAUCAAGAUCGCUAGAUUACAAGUAAUGUAAAAACAAUGUCACCGCUACCAGUAACCGUCGUAGGAAGACAAAUUCGAAUUCUCUGAUCCCCCCCCCCCCUCCGACUAGUAUAAAUAAACCGACGCGAUCGCGAGCAAUAGUUCUUACCGAGUACGUAAAGAAUUCAUAGCAAGUAUUUAGCGUCAUCCGGAAUGACUUUGAAUAUCUAGCGAGCGUCUAUCAAGGAUACGACGGUUACCGCCAAAUCCUGGAAGCCACGCCAAGUGGCGGAAACACGGGAAUUCCAUCUGGAUUUACUAAGAUCAGUGCCAUUUAAUGUGGAGCUCGAUAAAUCCCUUAAAAGCUGGUGGUCGGCAAGAAGACGGUGCAUUACAAUUUUCCAGAAAGGAGAAUGGCGAACGUCUAGGGGAGACGCAGACAAAUCUGCAAAUGCAAGGCUUCAGGUGCCAAAUGCUUUCAUCGUAUAAC